RNAcentral lists this ribosomal RNA (633 nucleotides) under uncultured Crater Lake bacterium CL0-97. Its description in RNAcentral is "bacterial SSU rRNA". It matches the Rfam family "Bacterial small subunit ribosomal RNA", at positions 8 to 668 of the family's 1533-position model. The record is from RNAcentral.
AGAGUUUGAUCAUGGCUCAGGACGAACGCUUGCGGCGUGCCUAAGAAAUGCAAGUCGAACGGGGGCUUCGGCCCCAGUGGCGAACGGUCGCGUAACACGUAAGCAACCUGCCCUGAAGUGGGGGACAACAUUCCGAAAGGGGUGCUAAUACCGCAUGUGGUCACGAGUCGGCAUCGACUUGUGUCUAAAGAUUUAUCGCUUCAGGAUGGGCUUGCGGCCUAUCAGGUAGUUGGUGGGGUAAUGGCCUACCAAGCCGACGACGGGUAGCUGGUCUGAGAGGACGAUCAGCCGGAUUGGGACUGAGAUACGGCCCAGACUCCUACGGGGGGCAGCAAUUAGGAAUCUUGCGCAAUGGGGGAAACCCUGACGCAGCGACGUCGCGUGAAGGAUGAAGGCCCUCGGGUCGUAAACUUCUUUUGAGUGGGAAGAAAUUUGACGGUACCACUCGAAUAAGCCCCGGCUAACUACGUGCCAGCAGCCGCGGUAAUACGUAGGGGGCGAGCGUUGUCCGAAGUUACUGGGCGUAAAGCGCGCGUAGGCGGUUAUUUAAGUCUGGGGUGAAAGGUUCAGCGCUCAACGUGAACAGUGCCUUGGAUACUGGAUGACUUGAGUCUGGGAGGGGGAAGGGGAAUU